AUGCAACAUGCCCCCAAGCUCCGCCCCGCCCUCCUCUCCGUCCAGAUCCAUGCCUCAAGGUCUGCACCCUUGCCCGCGGCUAGGGAUUCGGGCGCCCCCAUGUUCUUGCCGCCGAGUGCCCAGGUCGGCCCGCUGGCCAACGAGCAGCACACCGCACCUGCGCGUGCCCAGGCCGACGAGCAGUACGGGGACUGGCCGCGGACGGAGACGAGUGCAGGCGCGGUAGCAGGAGAAGCUGUGGCGGCGGCGGAUCUGGUGACCGCCGGGUCGGCUCGUCGACCCGGCAUAUAUCCCAACGAGAUAUGGUCGCUCCUGCUCUGGCUAGGCAUCACGAUGGCCAGGACAAGGGGCCCCGCCGGCCGGCUGCUCCGGCGGCGGAUACUUGUCGUGUCUCUCCCGAUACGAGAUCCCAUAUCCACCGCCGGGGCCGAGCUAGGGCAAGCCACCGACGACAUGGUUGCGUUCGAGCGUGAGGCCACCGGGGAACCUGUAUCGAAGCGGACACGCCGCUGCCGCCUCCCGGAGGAGAUCGUGGCGUGUGAGAUCCUUGUCCGCCUUCCGGCCAGGGACAUCCUCCGCUGCCGCGCGGUUUGCCACUACUGGCGCCGCCUCGCCUCUGCCCCUGAUUUCCUCCUCGCCCAUCACCGGCGCCAGCCGUCGCUCCCCCUCGUCACCCUCUACCGCGCGCUCUGUAUAAGUAGAGCGGAUGUCCUCCCAAUCUGCGGCCGUGGCCGGCCCAUCGUCGAGUUCGACGACUACAACAACAACCGCAGUGGCUUCAAGCUGCAUGCCUCCUGUGACGGCCUCCUCCUGCUCAGCCGAUCUGACGAGAGCUUCAGCAUCUGCAACCCAGCCACGCGUCAGUGCGCUCCCCUCCGAAACCUCACCACCGUUGGCCACAUCAACAUUGUGAUAGCCGCGUUGUACCUCCACCACACAUCAGGUGAGUACCGUGUCCUCUACUGGAAAAAGAGACACUGGAAAGGGAAUCAACAAGUGAAAGAAGCUUCCUGCUACAUCCUUACGGUGCGGCGGAGAGGCUCACCGAGGUGCAUCCGAGUUCCUUCAGAGAUCCCUGCCGUUAAGAAAUCUAUGAUAGCUGCGAACGUGAUGACCACUAUUAAUGUGGCCCCACCCGUCAUGUUCCGCAACUGCCUGCAUUGGGAACCUAGCUGGCUUUGCUAUGAUGUCGGGGACAUAGUCGUUUUCAACACGCUGGCUGAGUCAUUCAGAUCCAUGUGCUGCCCGCCUGGUGCUACUAGUUCCUGCACUCGCUUGUGCGACAUGGAAGGCUCGAUCGGCUUCAGUUGCUUUGAUGAUGGGAGGACAAUCGUCAGAACCUGGGUGCUUGAGGACUAUGAGAGGGAGGUAUGGGCAUUCAAGUACCAUGUUAAACUCCCUGUGGAGAGCUUGUGUCACUUGACAGAUACACGACAUUUCAUUUUCUCCGACAAGCGAGAUGUGCUCGUCUACAGUAUGUACGCACGUUACAUGUUCCAUUGUGACAGUACUGGCAAGUUGCUAGACGAAUUCCAAUGGAAUCCUGAGUCACAGGGUUUGAGCAUUAUUGGGCAUAGGUUCAAAGAAAGCCUUGUCGAGCAUAAGUUAUUCGCAAGGCGAGAAGCAGCACAUGAUGGACAACCAAGUUUUUUCGAAAGGUUCUAA
RNAcentral lists this ribosomal RNA (1665 nucleotides) under Triticum aestivum (bread wheat). Its description in RNAcentral is "partial small subunit ribosomal RNA". The record is from RNAcentral. Lineage: Eukaryota; Viridiplantae; Streptophyta; Magnoliopsida; Poales; Poaceae.